AUACGAAGGGGGCUAGCGUUGUUCGGAAUCACUGGGCGUAAAGCGCACGUAGGUGGAUCAAUCAGUUGAGGGUGAAAUCCCGGGGCUCAACCUCGGAACUGCCUUCAAUACUGUUGGUCUUGAGUCCGAGAGAGGUGAGUGGAAUUCCUAGUGUAGAGGUGAAAUUCGUAGAUAUUAGGAAGAACACCAGUGGCGAAGGCGGCUCACUGGCUCGGUACUGACGCUGAGGUGCGAAAGCGUGGGGAGCAAACAGGAGUAGAAACCCUAGUAGUCC
RNAcentral lists this ribosomal RNA (274 nucleotides) under uncultured bacterium. Its description in RNAcentral is "partial 16S ribosomal RNA". It matches the Rfam family "Bacterial small subunit ribosomal RNA", at positions 523 to 796 of the family's 1533-position model. The record is from RNAcentral.